Molecule: ribosomal RNA, 253 nt
Filed under: uncultured bacterium
Lineage: Bacteria
Description: partial 16S ribosomal RNA
Rfam family: Bacterial small subunit ribosomal RNA
Source: RNAcentral
GACAGAGGGUGCAAACGUUGUUCGGAAUUACUGGGCGUAAAGCGCGUGUAGGCGGCUAAGUAAGUCGGGCGUGAAAUCCCCGGGCUCAACCCGGGAACUGCGUCCGAUACUGGAAGGCUUGAAUCCGGGAGAGGGAUGUGGAAUUCCAGGUGUAGCGGUGAAAUGCGUAGAUAUCUGGAGGAACACCGGUGGCGAAGGCGACAUCCUGGACCGGUAUUGACGCUGAGGCGCGAAAGCCAGGGGAGCAAACGGG